Molecule: long non-coding RNA, 74 nt
Organism: Xenia sp. Carnegie-2017
Lineage: Eukaryota; Metazoa; Cnidaria; Anthozoa; Malacalcyonacea; Xeniidae
Exons: 3
Source: RefSeq, a predicted model, not a curated record
GAAGAUUUUGUUGCUUGUGUUGCUCUUUGAAGAUUUUGUUGCUUGUGUUGAACUUCGAAGGUUUUGUCCGUUAG